Molecule: non-coding RNA, 45 nt
Organism: Schistosoma rodhaini
Lineage: Eukaryota; Metazoa; Platyhelminthes; Trematoda; Strigeidida; Schistosomatidae
Source: Rfam
AUCCAGAUGAUGAGUCCCAAAUAGGACGAAACGCGCGUCCUGGAU